RNAcentral lists this ribosomal RNA (425 nucleotides) under uncultured bacterium. RNAcentral describes it as "partial 16S ribosomal RNA". It matches the Rfam family "Bacterial small subunit ribosomal RNA", at positions 354 to 796 of the family's 1533-position model. The record is from RNAcentral.
GUGGGGAAUCUUAGACAAUGGGGGAAACCCUGAUCUAGCCAUGCCGCGUGAGCGAUGAAGGCCUUAGGGUUGUAAAGCUCUUUCAGCUGGGAAGAUAAUGACGGUACCAGCAGAAGAAGCCCCGGCUAACUCCGUGCCAGCAGCCGCGGUAAUACGGAGGGGGCUAGCGUUGUUCGGAAUUACUGGGCGUAAAGCGCACGUAGGCGGAUCAGAAAGUCAGAGGUGAAAUCCCAGGGCUCAACCUUGGAACUGCCUUUGAAACUCCUGGUCUUGAGGUCGAGAGAGGUGAGUGGAAUUCCGAGUGUAGAGGUGAAAUUCGUAGAUAUUCGGAGGAACACCAGUGGCGAAGGCGGCCCCCUGGACAAAGACUGACGCUCAGGUGCGAAAGCGUGGGGAGCAAACAGGAUUAGAAACCCUGGUAGUCC